This 295-nucleotide long non-coding RNA is filed under the name Musa acuminata (dwarf banana). RNAcentral describes it as "long non-coding RNA (MACU_LNC002315)". Lineage: Eukaryota; Viridiplantae; Streptophyta; Magnoliopsida; Zingiberales; Musaceae. The record is from RNAcentral.
CAUAGUUGCAUGAUCAUAAAAAGGCAAGUCUUUGAAGCUUUUGACAACUCUAACAUUUCAACCAUAUUUACAAGUCAUAAUUAUGUAUUUAUAUUUUUAGUGUGACAUUUAUAUAAUUUACAAUGAUUGGUGUCCUGUGUAUUCUGUAACCACGCAUAUGCAUACACAAAUUUGGACUUCUAUUUACACAAAAUCCAAAUAGAUUCUUUACUGUUUGCAAUCAUCCAUUCCUACAGAUGAUUAUCCAUGUUUGCAAUCAUCCAUUCCUACAGAUGAUUAUCCAUAGACAUGCCUA